UAGUCCCACUUUUCUGUCAGUCUCUGCUGGAGAUGGGCACAAAGGAUUUAGACUUUGUGCAGUUGAACCAGUUAAUUGGAAGGAAAACUGGAGGGCUAUCAGUCUAUCCUUUCACCUCAUCCGUGCAUGGCAAGGUGGAGCCAUGUAGCAAGAUAAUAGUUCGAGGCAAAGCCAUGUCACAACGUACAGAAGAUUUAUUUUACUUGAUCAACCGCGUUCUUCAAGAUGUCCAGCUUGAUGACCAAAAGCGUUUCAAGCAGUUCGUUUCUCAAAGCAGAUCGAGAAUGGAGAAUCGUCUAAGAGGCAGUGGUCAUAGCGUUGCUGCUGCAAGGAUGGGUGCUAAGCUUAACGUUGCAGGGUGGAUAUCUGAACAAAUGGGUGGUGUUAGCUACUUGGAAUUUCUGAAGGUUCUUGAAGACCAAGUUGAGAAGGAUUGGUCCCAAAUAUCAUCAUCCCUUGAGGAGAUCCGAAAAUCUUUACUUUCCAAGAAUGGGUGUCUGAUAAAUUUGACAGCUGAUGGGAAGAAUCUCAACAACGCGGAGAAACAUAUUAGCAAAUUUCUUGAUUUGCUUCCAAGCACAUCUCUAGUGGAGCCAGCUGCUUGGAAUGCACAGUUGUCUCGCUCAAAUGAAGCUUUUGUUGUUCCUACUCAGGUGAAUUAUGUUGGAAAAGCAGCUAAUCUGUAUGAAGCUGGUUAUGAGCUUAAAGGCAGUGCUUAUGUUAUUUCUAAUUAUACAAGUAAUACAUGGCUCUGGGAUCGUGUACGUGUUAGUGGUGGAGCUUAUGGAGGAUUUUGUAGUUUUGACUCCCAUUCAGGGGUAUUCUCAUUUUUAUCCUACCGAGACCCAAAUUUAUUGAAGACACUUGAUGUGUAUGACGGAACCAGUAGUUUCCUUAAAGAACUUGAAAUGGAUAAUGAUGCACUCACAAAGGCAAUUAUUGGGACUAUUGGAGAUGUAGAUUCUUACCAGUUGCCUGAUGCCAAAGGGUACAGUAGUUUAUUAAGAUAUUUACUGGGAGUAACAGAUGAAGAAAGACAAAGGAGACGUGAGGAGAUAUUAUCAACAAGUCUGGAAGAUUUCAGGAAAUUUGGAGACGUCAUGGAGGCAGUUAAAGAUAAAGGGGUGGUUGUUGCUGUAGCAUCACCAGAUGAUGUUGAGGCAGCCAACAAGGAGCGUUCUAACUUCUUGGAAGUCAAGAAAGCACUCUGAUUCUGAUCAAGUCUUUCUUGGAAAAUGCUUGUAUGCAUUAUUUGCUGUUAGAAUCCUCAAUCCCGUAUUAAACAAAAGGAAGCCAAGAAGGGGAAAAAAAGACUAGAGAAUCAGGAAGAAUACCAAUUCUUUUUUCUUGAGAACAUAGUAGCUUUACAGAAGCUUUGUAAGGCAAAAAAAAAUCAGUUUUUAAGUUUAAGAAAAAAGUCUCAAGAUUACAGUUUUUUAACCGAUCAAUUUAUCUGCUUUUAAGUUUAAGAAAAAAGUCUCAAGAUUACAGUUUUUUAACCGAUCAAUUUAUCUGC
This 1516-nucleotide unclassified non-coding RNA is filed under the name Hevea brasiliensis (rubber tree). The record is from RNAcentral. Lineage: Eukaryota; Viridiplantae; Streptophyta; Magnoliopsida; Malpighiales; Euphorbiaceae.